CAGGAGGGCGCGAGCGUUGUCCGGAAUCACUGGGCGUAAAGGGCGCGUAGGUGGCCACCAUAAGGCCGCGGUGAAAGUCUGGGGCUCAACCCCGGAUCGGCCGCGGCGACUGUGGGGCUGGGGUACCGUAGAGGCAGGUGGAAUUCCGGGUGUAGCGGUGGAAUGCGUAGAGAUCCGGAAGAACACCAGUGGCGAAGGCGGCCUGCUGGGCGGUGGGACCGAAAGGUCUCCUUGACCGACACUGAGGCGCGACAGCGUGGGGAGCAAACAGGAUUAGAUACCCUGGUAGUCCACGCCGUAAACGAUGGGCACUAGGUGCGUCCGGGGAGCCGACCCUUGGAGUACCGGCGCUAACGCAUGAAGUCGCCCCGCCUGGGGAGUACGGCCGCAAGGCUG
Molecule: ribosomal RNA, 396 nt
Filed under: uncultured organism
Description: bacterial SSU rRNA
Rfam family: Bacterial small subunit ribosomal RNA
Source: RNAcentral